Molecule: ribosomal RNA, 416 nt
Filed under: Ligilactobacillus ruminis
Lineage: Bacteria; Bacillati; Bacillota; Bacilli; Lactobacillales; Lactobacillaceae
Description: bacterial SSU rRNA
Rfam family: Bacterial small subunit ribosomal RNA
Source: RNAcentral
CGACGUCUGAUGGAGCACGCCGCGUGAAUGAAGAAGGCCUUCGGGUCGUAAAAUUCUGUUGUCAGAGAAGAACGUGCGUGAGAGUAACUGUUCACGUAUUGACGGUAUCUGACCAGAAAGCCACGGCUAACUACGUGCCAGCAGCCGCGGUAAUACGUAGGUGGCGAGCGUUGUCCGGAUUUAUUGGGCGUAAAGGGAACGCAGGCGGUCUUUUAAGUCUGAUGUGAAAGCCUUCGGCUUAACCGAAGUAGUGCAUUGGAAACUGGAAGACUUGAGUGCAGAAGAGGAGAGUGGAACUCCAUGUGUAGCGGUGAAAUGCGUAGAUAUAUGGAAGAACACCAGUGGCGAAAGCGGCUCUCUGGUCUGUAACUGACGCUGAGGUUCGAAAGCGUGGGUAGCAAACAGGAUUAGAUACC